UGCAAGUCGAGCGCACCUUCGGGUGAGCGGCGGACGGGUUAGUAACGCGUGGGAACAUACCCUUCUCUAAGGAAUAGCCACUGGAAACGGUGAGUAAUACCUUAUACGCCCUUCGGGGGAAAGAUUUAUCGGAGAUGGAUUGGCCCGCGUUAGAUUAGAUAGUUGGUGGGGUAAUGGCCUACCAAGUCUACGAUCUAUAGCUGGUUUUAGAGGAUGAUCAGCAACACUGGGACUGAGAUACGGCCCAGACUCCUACGGGAGGCAGCAGUGGGGAAUCUUAGACAAUGGGCGCAAGCCUGAUCUAGCCAUGCCGCGUGAGUGAUGAAGGCCUUAGGGUCGUAAAGCUCUUUCGCCAGGGAUGAUAAUGACAGUACCUGGUAAAGAAACCCCGGCUAACUCCGUGCCAGCAGCCGCGGUAAUACG
RNAcentral lists this ribosomal RNA (423 nucleotides) under uncultured organism. RNAcentral describes it as "bacterial SSU rRNA". It matches the Rfam family "Bacterial small subunit ribosomal RNA", at positions 56 to 527 of the family's 1533-position model. The record is from RNAcentral.